GACGAACGCUGGCGGCGUGCUUAACACAUGCAAGUCGAACGGAAAGGCCCUGCUUUUGUGGGGUGCUCGAGUGGCGAACGGGUGAGUAACACGGGAGUAACCUGCCCUUGACUUUGGGAUAACUUCAGGAAACUGGGGCUAAUACCGGAUAGGAGCUCCUGCUGCAUGGUGGGGGUUGGAAAGUUUCGGCGGUUGGGGAUGGACGCGCGGCUUAUCAGCUUGUGGGUGGGGUAGUGGCUUACCAAGGCUUUGACGGGUAGCCGGCCUGAGAGGGUGACCGGCCACAAUGGGACUGAGAUACGGCCCAGACUCCUACGGGAGGCAGCAGUGGGGAAUAUUGCACAAUGGGCGGAAGCCUGAUGCAGCAACGCCGCGUGCGGGAUGAAGGCCUUCGGGUUGUAAACCGCUUUCGCCUGUGACGAAGCGUGAGUGACGGUAAUGGGUAAAGAAGCACCGGCUAACUACGUG
RNAcentral lists this ribosomal RNA (468 nucleotides) under uncultured bacterium. RNAcentral describes it as "partial 16S ribosomal RNA". It matches the Rfam family "Bacterial small subunit ribosomal RNA", at positions 28 to 507 of the family's 1533-position model. The record is from RNAcentral.